This is a non-coding RNA of Pangasianodon gigas (Mekong giant catfish), 72 nucleotides long. The record is from the annotation of a GenBank genome assembly. NCBI's taxonomy places the organism in Eukaryota, Metazoa, Chordata, Actinopteri, Siluriformes, Pangasiidae.
UUCAAAAUGGUAGAAAAUAAAUCUUAAAUAAAAAAAAAAAAUUUUUAAAAAAGGACAAAACUGCUGGUGAGA